GGAACCAAGAUGAAGUAAUGAAACAAAGACGCGAACCAGGAACUUGGGGAACCGGAGUGCACAAGGGGUAGUUUUUUUCAGAAAUGGUUUUUAAUAGGAACCUAAGGGUGCUCUGAGGGAACUAGUCCCUGGCCGCAGAGAGCAGGGCGGCCUCCCCAGCCCCUGGUUCGGGAACCGGGCAGAGUCUUGAAGAGGAGGCCCGGGCCGGGGGCGGAGCCAUCUGGGCUGCAAGAGCCGGAAAGCGGAAGCCGAGGCUGGCGGCGCCGCGGUCUACACCAGGCUCGGGUGCGGGUGAGUCACCGCCUCAGCGGGCCUGAGCCAGUGAGGACGCGCGACCGCUCUACUGCCGCCUCCAGGGCCCUGGGCCUUUGCACCUGGUUUUCUCCGAGGGGAACAAAGCCUUACCGUUGUGGCAGUGAGUGGCGGCCUAGCGCAGGCCCCUUCCCUUCGAAUCCCCUUUCUUGCCCACUUUCUUGCCCAGUCCAUUCUUUUACUUCAUGGCCCAUCACUAAACUGGUAGGUCGGGCUUGGAGAGCACGCAGUCUGUGACAGCAGACUGCCCUCUUUGGAGCGCGGGGCCGCCAGCUGCAGCCGAGGCUGGUGCGGCCGCCGCGGUCUCCAUGGUAACGGCCCCGCCGGCGUCACGGCCUUGCGGGGAAGAUGCGGCCUGCUGGGCCCGCCGCCUCGCCCCCGGCCUCUCCGCCCGGCCGUGGCCACUGAGGAGGAAGGACCCGGACUUCGGCCUGCCUGGCAGCGGGCACCAGUGAAAUCACACACUCUGGCUGGAGACACAGAUGGCCUCAAAUGAGAGAGAUGCUAUAUCGUGGUAUCAAAAGAAGAUUGGAGCAUAUGAUCAGCAGAUAUGGGAAAAAUCAAUCGAACAAACUCAGAUUAAGGGCUUCAAAAACAAACCAAAAAAGAUGGGUCACAUCAAGCCAGACUUGAUUGAUGUUGACUUAAUCAGAGGCUCAACAUUUGCCAAAGCCAAACCUGAAAUUCCCUGGACAUCUCUGACUCGGAAGGGACUUGUUCGAGUUGUUUUUUUUCCAUUGUUCAGCAAUUGGUGGAUUCAGGUUACCUCUUUAAGAAUCUUUGUUUGGCUGCUACUGCUUUACCUCAUGCAAGUUAUAGCGAUUGUGUUAUAUCUUAUGAUGCCUCUUGUGAAUGUAAGUGAAAUACUUGGACCCUUGUGCCUUAUGCUACUCAUGGGAACCGUCCACUGUCAGAUUGUAUCUACUCAGAUAACAAGGCCAUCAGGAAGCAAUGGCAAUCGGAGAAGAAGAAAAUUACGAAAAACUGUAAAUGGUGAUGGGAGCCGAGAAAAUGGAAGUAAUAACACUUCUGAUAAAGUCCGAGGAAUAGAAAAUUUGGAAUCUGCACCCAUUGUUGGUGGUUUUUGGGGGACUCUCUUUGGCAACAGGAAUAAAAAGGUAAAAUUACUAACUGACAAAGGAACUGAAACUGACAAUGAUUCAAAUUGUCUCCAUCCUAUCAUUAAGAAGAGGCAGUCUCGGCCAGAUUUUAGAAUGUGGCAAACAAGAGAGAAAGCAAAAUUUUCGGAUGGAGAAAAGUGCCGUAGGGAGGCCUACAGGCGUGUAGGUAAUGGGGUUUCAGAUGAUCUGUCGAGCGAGGAAGAUGGCGAGGCCCGGACACAGAUGAUAUUGUUGCGAAGGAGUGUGGAAGGGGCCUCAAGUGACAAUAGCUGUGAAAUGAAGAAUAGAAAAUCAAUACUUUCAAGGCACCUCAACUCUCAGGUAAAGAAAACCUCUACAAGGUGGUGUCAUAUAGUACGGGACUCAGAUAGCGUGGCUGAAUCGGAAUUUGAAUCAGCAGCCUUCAGCCAGGGCUCUAGAUCUGGCAUGAGUGGUGGCUCUCGAAGCCUCAACAUGUCAAGAAGAGACUCAGAAAGCACUCGCCAUGACUCGGAGACUGAGGAUAUGUUAUGGGAUGACCUGCUCCAUGGCCCAGAGUGCCGGUCGUCUGUCACCAGCGACAGUGAGGGGGCCCAUGUGAAUACCCUACAUUCAGGGGCCAAACGUGACCCCAAAGAAGAUGUUUUCCAGCAGAACCAUUUAUUCUGGCUUCAGAACUCAAGUCCUGCCUCUGAUCGAGUUAGUGCAAUAAUCUGGGAAGGAAAUGAAUGCAAAAAGAUGGACAUGUCUGUAUUGGAAAUAAGUGGUAUCAUCAUGAGCAGGGUCAAUGCAUACCAGCAAGGAGUAGGUUAUCAGAUGCUGGGAAAUGUUGUCACCAUUGGAUUAGCAUUUUUUCCUUUUUUACAUCGACUUUUCCGAGAGAAGAGCUUUGACCAGCUAAAGUCCAUUUCUGCUGAGGAGAUCUUGACUCUGUUUUGUGGGGCCCCACCUGUUACACCUAUUAUUAUUUUGUCUAUAAUUAAUUUUUUUGAAAGAUUAUGUCUUACUUGGAUGUUUUUUUUUAUGAUGUGUGUGGCAGAGAGAACGUAUAAACAGAGAUUUUUAUUUGCAAAACUCUUCAGUCAUAUUACUUCUGCCAGAAAAGCAAAGAAAUAUGAAAUACCUCAUUUCAGACUUAAAAAGGUAGAGAACAUUAAAAUAUGGCUGUCACUGCGUUCCUACCUAAAGAGACGAGGUCCACAGCGAUCAGUUGACGUGGUUGUAUCUUCAGUCUUCUUACUGACACUUUCAAUUGCUUUCAUUUGUUGUGCCCAGGUUCUCCAGGGACAUAAAACUUUCCUGAAUGAUGUUUAUAACUGGGAGUUUUUGAUCUGGGAAACAGCUUUACUGCUUUUCUUACUGCGCCUGGCCUCACUGGGGUCUGAAACCAAUAAAAAAUACAGCAAUGUUUCAAUAUUACUUACAGAACAGAUUAAUUUAUAUCUUAAGAUGGAAAAAAAGCCAAAUAAGAAAGAACAACUUACUCUAGUAAACAACGUAUUAAAGCUGUCAACCAAGUUGUUAAAAGAGCUGGACACACCAUUUAGACUCUAUGGACUGACAAUGAAUCCCUUAAUCUACAAUAUCACAAGAGUAGUUAUUCUUUCUGCUGUCUCAGGAGUUAUAAGUGAUCUUCUAGGAUUUAAUAUAAGACUGUGGAAAAUUAAGUCAUAAACUGAGCCACGUGCCUGGAUUCCUGCCCCGCUGCAUCAGUGCUGACCGCAAAGGAAGGAGCUGGCCUGGACCGCGUGAGCCCACCUGCCAUGACCCUGCACAGGUGCUCCCAGCCCUUCCAGAGAGUUCUCAGAAACUUUCUCAACGGGCUGUGCAUGUGAAAAACCUGGUUAUCAAAACAGUAUGCAUAGCAGCAGACUAAAGACUGUUACAGGAAUACAAGGACAAUUUUCUAAGGAAGCUUAUUCUUGCCACGGUGGAAGAGUGGUCAGUGUUCUCCUUCCUUCACUACCUCAUUCGUCCUGGUCUGAUCACUGCGGAAAACUUGCGCUUAGAUUCCAAGAAAGGGAUGAGAAGUUAAACCAAGAUGUGAAGACAGGUCAAGCUACUCAUCAUUUAAUUGGACUAACUAUAGAAGUGUAAGAAAAAUAACUACUAACUUAAGUUUUUAAUCUGCUGUCACACUGAGGAAAAUCACCCUUCCUGACAUUGCCAUGGAGGUAUGAUCUGCAGACUUCUAAAUGUGUAGAUCAUGGUCCAUGUAGUAUGUUGGAAAAGUUGAAUAAUGAAAGACCUAAUGGCAUGUGGUUUUCUUGACUUUCAGGGACAUGUAGAAAAAGUCUAAAUACAAGGAUGGCUUACAAAGUGCAAGUUUAUUGGUUUGUUUUUUACUUUUGGUUCAUGAUGUUUAGAGGUAAGUUGACCUAUGCACUGUAAAAAUAAGCUUCUUUCAAAUUAAUGAAACUGAUUUUGAAAAAUUUUUAAGGUCUGCAUAUUUACUGUAGGCCAUCUGGGUUUUGCUCUGAAAUGUCAUGUGAUUUGGGAGAUCAAAAAUUCUUAAAUUUAAUCUAACUUAUUACAUGUAUUGACUAGUAAUUUUAAGUACUCUUCUGCUUCUUGCAGUUACUGGUGCCCAUGUUGAAUGAUGAAGUUUGAGUGUCACAAAUGUGCAGUAAUUUUGUAUCUUUCCUGCAGAGUAUCUUGAGCCUUAUAAGCUGCCAUAAGGUAUUGCCCAAGUGAACAAGUGGUUGUCCUUGUAGAAGGUCAAAAUGAACUUUGAGGGGCUGGGGAUUUAGCUCAGUAGUGUAAGUGCCUGGCUGGCAAGCAUGAGGUCGCGACUGCGAUCCUGGCACACAAAAAAUUAAAUAAAUGAACUGUUGGGUUUGUGAAUUUGCUAAUUGUUUGGCUUGCUUUAAUGUUAAAGGUAUUGUUAAUGUUACGAAGUAGACUCAUAUCCACAGGAAUCUUUGUUGACAUAGUAUAAGGCUAACUUGCAGCACUUUUCUGUUUUUUGUUAGAGAGAGAGUGAUUCAGGGCUCUCUAUUGGAAUUCCAUUCCUAAUGAGCCUGCACACUUCCUUCUUGUACCUAAUGGUACUUGCAGAGCAACACUGAAAACAUCCCCAAGUUAAUGGAUAUCUUAAAGUGAUUGAGCCAACUCAGGAUAUAGACUUCAUAUAAUAAUUAUGGCAUGCUUUAAGUAAGUCAUACAUUGCUGGUAAACCCUGAAAGUAGAACCAGAGAAGUUACCUAGGUAAGAUGUUACCGUUUUAAAAGGAUAGAUGGCUUUUAGACAUUGGUGCAUGGCAUGAUGAUGUCAAAAGUUGCUCUGAUGUAUUCCUCUUACCAAACUGGAAAGCUGUAUUUUGUGACAAGCCUGUGUGUGUUCAGUGUUCUGUUCCAGGACCAUUCUAUGGCUAAGCUGCAGUUUAAAAACUGGCAGACUGUCACAGACCUCGAGUUUCAUCUCAAUACUCCUUGCUUUCUUAAAACCCAACUCUGAAUUAGUGGACAUAUUAAACAUGAAACUCGUCAGUCCACAUGCCUUUUAUUUUUUAUGAAAAACGCUUGUUUAUGUUUUUUUUUUCAUUUGUUUGUUUAUGUCCUUUCUUAAUAGCAAGAUACUCUCAUGUAAAAAUAUGCCCCGUGGUCUUUUGGUCCAGGACUCCUGAAAUAGGAGUUGACUGUCAAAAUUGCUUUGAUGUAACCAUGUUUGAAGACAAUGCUUUUGAUCUUAGCAACCUGGUCUUUCUGUUGAGAUUAUGUGGUAGUUUCCCAAAACUGUUCUGCCUGAGUGAUAGGUAAGACAACGUGUCCCCUCUGGGUUGGGGGGACUACCUUGCAGGCGGUUCCUGCAGCUCUGCUGUAACACAUUUCAUCUAGGAAUCAGAGAGUGAGUUUUAUUUUUAGUGUGAGUUCAUGCAGUGGUAGGAAGAAAUUUAUUUUUCUCAAGAGCAUUUAAUUAACCAGGGUUUUAAAGUAGGUUUUAGGUCUUAAUCCAUUUAACUCAGUAUGAACAAGUAGAAACACUUCGUUUUUAAAGUAAAUAAAACAACCUGUAAGAAUAACAUUGGAUUUCCACUGUCUGAUGAAGCAGAAUUUUGUGACCAUGUGGUAAUUAGACUUACAUUGUAGCUAUACAUUAUAACUCUUAGGUAACUGAAUAGUAAGACAAACUAUCUUGGGGCUAAGGAUUUAGCUCAGCAACAAAGCAUCUGCCUGGCAAAUGUGAGAUCACAAGUUUGAUUUCUAGUACAAAAAAAUAUCUUUUUUCCCUAUCUACUGUAAGACAGGUUUCUUUUUUUAGUAGCAAAUGAUUUAAGCAAACAUUUUCUUUACAAUGAAAGGUAAAAAAAUAUAUAUGCCUCUCACAUCUCACAUGUUUAAAAGUCUAGCUGUACAAGUAAAGUCAUAUUGUAACAAUCUUCCUGAGUGUAGGACUUUGAAUGUUUUUUACUUGGAGGACAAAAUCUUUUUUUGAGAACUAGCUCCCCAAAUAGAAAGCAACAUGAGCAAAGCUGAAAGUUGAAAGAAAUUCAGGUCGUGAACUGCUUUUUUUUUUUUUUAAUAUCUAUAUAAAAAAUAACGAGCAAUUUACAGAUCUUUCUCUAAUCAGAACCUCAAGUGUGUGUGUGUAUAUAUAUAUAUAUAUAUAUAUAUAUGUAUAUAUAAAGUACUGUACAUAUAUAAACAUUUACAACCAGGAUAUCCAGCAUGUUUUGCUCAGCAUUCCAAGGCCACAUUGCUAAAUCAGUAUAUAAUCAGUACAGUGACAGGUUACUUAGGGAAGAGCCACAUCAGACAACAUAUGACAUCAAAGUUAUGUCACAGUUAACAAUAAAAAUAGGAUUUGUAUCACUAAUUGUGGACUAUUGGGAAAAUAAGUCAUUUCUCUUACUAAAUUUAUUAGCACUUAUUCAAGCCUCCUAAUUUUGCUCUAUUCAAGUAAUCACAACAGAUGGGCAAAUAAGUCCUGGAUGAAAGGGAAGUCCGACCCUCAGAAGCAUGUGCUAUCUACAGGGACUGAUAUAACUGCUGUGUGAGUUUCACAGUCAGAUCUGCAGAGGGAUAAGACCUGGACAUAAAGUGUUUGACAAGAUGAACUCAGGAUGACAGAAAAAACGUGUUUAAAUCCUCCAUGAAGUAUUUUUACAGUGAAAAUGUGCCUUUAAUCAUAGAUGCUACUGAAUGCUGCUUCAGGGAUUUUAAAACCUGGACCUAUUUUAUUGAGUUAACUAUCUCUAUCUUCCAGUACACAUCUUUAAUUAGACUUUUAAAACUACUCUGAGAAGUUGUACAAGCUAAGCAGAUGUUUAAUCUCCCUUUCUUGUUUUUCAAUAAGAAAGUUAAUGUACUAAAAAUUAAAGAUUAAGCAUGUGCUGUCUACCAUGCUUGUCCUGAGAGCUGGACAGGACCCCGUGGGUGCUGCUUCCACAGGCCUGAUCUUGUCCAUCUGCCCCAUGAGCUGGACCUGCAUCUGGCAUAGGACUGUGAAGCUGGUUUCUAGAUUAAGUCCCUCAAACACUGUAUAUAAUCUGACCCUUCGAUGAUUUUAGUGGCAGAUACAAUCCAAAUAUCCAGGAAUAGCUAAUCGGCAGUUUCUCCUUGAAGAACAGUGAGCAGUACUCCUGCAUGCUGCUCUGCGGUUUCACACUGGGAAAGGGUGACCUGAGAUGAGGUAACUGGUAACAGCCGGGGAGUGAGCUUUGCUGCUUAGAAGGACUUUCUCAUUUUGAACAUUUAGUUGUAAUAUCUGUAACAGUUAUUUGAAACACCUUAUCCAGCCAAAUUAAAAUAAAAAGCUGUAAGAAAGCAUUACUAUUUGACCUUUUGCUUUAAAUUAAUGAUGCUUGGGAGUUUUACUUUUAAACUGGGACUCUUAUCAAUAGAUGUUAGUUUGAAAUGAUAAGCUAACAAUCUCAUCUGCAAGGACUCAAAUAUUUCUCUGUAUAAACAUGCAACAUGCUAUUGAAAACACCAACUUCAAAGCCAAACCUAACUGUUCCAUUACUGCAGAAAUAUCUGAAUGAGGAAAAACAGACAUGAUACAGUAGAUAACUUGGCACAAAUACAAAGGGAGUUGUGACUGCGUUGAUAUCAACAUGUCACUUGUCAGACACUCCUGGAGAUGAGCAGGCAGCCUCACAGAACAGGUCAGAUGGGUAUGGGGACACAGCUUUGUCCUGAGGACGGGCGGGCCGGCAGGCGGCCAGCUAGGACGGUUGAUUCUUAGCAAUCCUAAAGGCCCUUCAUGCAGCCUAGAAACUUGAUGUGCAAAUUAAAAGGUACUUAGGUGUUUCAGAAUCUCUGGAAAAAUGACUUUCUGGAAGAAUGCUGCUUUUUAGUAAGAAAAGAUUACAACUUGUUUUUCUUUGUUUUAUGCUAAAGGUUACAACCGUUUCUCAGCCAUGCCAGUCGUGCCUGUGACUUUGUUUGCACUUGGCACCUUCCAGGGCCCUGGAGUUAUUGGUGCUUUCUUAACUGGAGAGCUGCUUUCAGGUUUGACCCUUCCACUCUCUUUACAUUUGUCAGCUGUCUUUAGUUCUUUCUCUUUGUGAUCUUCUGUUUUAUUUAAUAGCGUCUUUUCUUCAGGUUCCUGUCUCACCUUUUUCUCUGAUAUCUGGACAUUUUCUCCUAUUUUAUCUUUAGCAGAAUGUAUUUCUCCUACAGUUGGUUUCUUUCCUUUUUCAUUUCCAGACACUAUUCUCUUUUUGGAGGCAAGAGACUUCUCAUCCAUUCUUUUGCUUUGUUUCUCUGCAGACCUGGUUUUGUCUUUUCCCAACUGACUUUGCUUCACAUCUUUACUGAUCAGACUUGAAUUUUCUUUCCAAUCUGGGACCUGCUCAGCACUGUCAGUAGCACGGCCUGCUCCUCUGUGACCCUCACCUUUGGGUAAUGUGUCUUCGGCAUUUGACAAGUCCUUGCAUUCUUCAGUUUUUUGCUGCUUCCUUGGGCUAGAAGAGCGUCCUCUGCUUUUUUUGUAAUGAUCUUGUCCAGAAGCUGCUCUGGGGUCAGUCUGAUACCUUUUCCUAGGGCUGAGUGAUCUAUCUCUGGGUCUUCUUUUGGGGUCAUAUUUUGGAGGACAAGGAAGCUUUUCCAAAUGUUCCUCUGAAUAGUGAUGAGCUGACUUUUUGGGACUGACAGAGCCACCUCUUUGUGUGACACCACUGUCUAGUCUUUGUAGACUUUUCUUGUCACUGUGCCCAUGGCUGCUGGGUGGAUCCCUCUUAUUCACAUUUUUUUGGAGAAAAGACUGAUGCUUUAUCUCAGACUGAGUUUCAUUUAAAGUGCUUUUCUUUUCAGGUACAGUGUCCUUUAAUUCUUCUGCCUUUUCACAUAUCUGAACUCUCAUUAGAGAAUCUUCAAUUCCUGGUACAUGAGACUCUUCAAAUAUGGAAGCAGAAUGUGAAGAUGGGGGAAAUGGUGACUGUUCAUCAUAAAUCACAUUGGAAGAUGAAGGAUUAUUAAUAUCCCAAUCACCUAAAAAGUGAUUUGAGUGCAACAUUAUUAAACUUUAAAAUUAUAAAUAGGAACCACAGUUUUGAACUUGGAGAGCCAUUUGAAUUGUACUGACUACAAAAACAGCCUGAGUAUAUUACACAGCUUAUACAUAUUUAGAUAUCUGUCUGUGAAGGCAGAUGUUUAUAGGUAUCUGUUGGUAUAGGAUGGGUAGAUUCUUAUGUAUAUAAUACUUCAUUUUUGUAAUCAUGUAUAAUUAAUAUGUAAUCUAUAAAGCCCAAUCAGUAGUACAUAAGAAAUAAUAAAACUGGACCAAAUUACCUGGUCCAUGAGGCUAAUUAAGGUGUGAUCAAUGGAUUUAUCAAACCACCAAUAAAGAAGAACAAACUGUGAAACCAGAA
This is an RNA transcript of Cavia porcellus (domestic guinea pig), 9225 nucleotides long. It is a transcript of the gene named putative homeodomain transcription factor 1, with no coding region annotated. NCBI's taxonomy places the organism in Eukaryota, Metazoa, Chordata, Mammalia, Rodentia, Caviidae. The record is from RefSeq and is a predicted model, not a curated record. The transcript has 20 exons.